RNAcentral lists this ribosomal RNA (435 nucleotides) under Elasmotropis testacea. RNAcentral describes it as "partial 16S ribosomal RNA". The record is from RNAcentral. Lineage: Eukaryota; Metazoa; Arthropoda; Insecta; Hemiptera; Tingidae.
UUCUUUAUUGAUUUUUUAUAUAAAGUAUGACCUGCCCUAUGAAAUAUUAAAUGGCCGCGAUUUUUAUCGUGCUAAGGUAGCAUAAUAAUUUGUCUCUUAAUUAGGGUCUAGUAUGAAUGGUUGAACGAGGGGUUAACUUUUUUAAUCAAAUUUUUUUUAAUUUAAUUUUUUAGUCAAAAAGCUAAAAUAAAAUUAUGGGACGAUAAGACCCUGUAGAGUUUUAUUUACAUAGUUUUAUUUAUAUAGUAGGUUUUAUAUUGUUGGUAUAAUUAUGUAAAUUUGGUUGGGGUGACUGUUAUAUAAUUUUAACUAUAACUUUUAUAUUUCAUAGAUAUAUGAUUGAUUGACCCUGAAUUUUGGGUUAUAAGAACAAAUUACCUCAGGGAUAACAGCGUAAUUUCUUUGGGGAGUUCUUAUUUAUAAAGAAGAUUGCGA